AGACAGUAGAUACUCAGUCAACAUUCUCCAACAGUCGGCCAUGCCAACCACUUGCACAUUUCAUGCUUGGGGCAUGUGGUGAGAAAAAGGACAGUGGACAAGAGCUACACACAAAGAAGGCUCUUCCUUUCUUCACACUUCUGAUUGUCUUCCUUGGAGCCUCCAAUUUUCCUGUGUCCAGACUUUGGUAUUCAGUGUGGGCCCAUUGUAGUGUCUGGAAAAAUUUAUUUAUUUUACAGCUCCUGAACAGAACUAGCAUUCAUUUUCCAAGUUGGAAUCACAAGAGAAAUAUGAAAGCUAACUGCACAUAGUAUAAAUAAACAUGAUAUGGGAACAUGAGAGCAGAACACAGCAGCCUGACAUAGACGAGAGAGACAAUCCAGCAUAACAAAUAGGUCACUCUAACUGGUGGCCAUAAAAAUGUCAGAAGAAUGUAUCACAGACAUUAAGAACCUUAAUUUUGCAGUUUAAAAAAAGUGGAACCCAGAGAGACUGAGUGUGUUACCCAAGAUCAGCAAUAGCCCCAGCAUCUCAUGGAUCCAGGAACCACAUGUUACGCACUGCGCCAGAGCUCCUGCUAAGAUGACAAUUUCUUCUUUAGGCAUGCACUAUGGAACAACAUCAACAAAAAGGAGCACCAGCAGGAAGAAACUAACUAAUGUACAGUCAGCAAAAAAGUCCAGAUUUUAGUGCAUUUUUACUCACAUCCUCAGAGAAAGAGAAUACAAGCUGUAUUUGACACAAGCAACUCUGCAAACUUUAAUUACAGCACUUGGAAAACCUUACAUGUAAAAGUAAUUAAAAAUAAAUUGUUCCCUGGGAAGAAACAGGCUAAUUUGAA
Molecule: non-coding RNA, 841 nt
Organism: Macaca mulatta (Rhesus monkey)
Lineage: Eukaryota; Metazoa; Chordata; Mammalia; Primates; Cercopithecidae
Source: RefSeq, a predicted model, not a curated record